AUUAAAGUGGCAGAAGAAAAUGUAAGGAAUUUAAGCUUCCUUUAUGACUUAAAAUCCUUUAAUA
RNAcentral lists this transfer RNA (64 nucleotides) under Amblyomma fimbriatum (goanna tick). Its description in RNAcentral is "tRNA-Leu". Lineage: Eukaryota; Metazoa; Arthropoda; Arachnida; Ixodida; Ixodidae. The record is from RNAcentral.